This 343-nucleotide unclassified non-coding RNA is filed under the name soil metagenome. RNAcentral describes it as "partial contains 5.8S ribosomal RNA, internal transcribed spacer 2, and large subunit ribosomal RNA". The stretch from base 1 to 120 matches the Rfam family "5.8S ribosomal RNA", at positions 35 to 154 of the family's 154-position model. The record is from RNAcentral.
GAUGAAGAACGUAGCGAAAUGCGAUAAGUAAUGUGAAUUGCAGAAUCCAGUGAAUCAUCGAAUCUUUGAACGCACAUUGCGCCCGCCAGCAUUCUGGCGGGCAUGCCUGUUCGAGCGUCAUUUCAACCCUCGACCUCCCCUUGGGGAGGUCGGCGUUGGGGACCGGCAGCACACCGCCGGCCCUGAAAUGGAGUGGCGGCCCGUCUGCGGUGACCUCUGCGUAGUAAUACAGCUCGCACCGGAACCCCGACGCGGCCACGCCGUAAAACACCCAACUUCUGAACGUUGACCUCGAAUCAGGUAGGACUACCCGCUGAACUUAAGCAUAUCAAUAAGCGGAGGA